GUGCUCGCUUCAGCAGCACAUAUAGUGAAACUGGAAUGAUACAGAGAAGAUUAUCAUGGCCCCUGCACAAGGAUGAUAGGCAAAUUUGUGAAGCAUUCCAUAUUUUU
Small nuclear RNA from Phyllostomus hastatus (greater spear-nosed bat), 107 nucleotides. Lineage: Eukaryota; Metazoa; Chordata; Mammalia; Chiroptera; Phyllostomidae. The record is from RefSeq and is a predicted model, not a curated record.